AUACUUCCCUGACGUAGAGGACUACCACGAUCAAAUAAGUGGUUUCUACAAGGUGAGACCUGCCCAUUGCUCAUAGGGUGGGCUGCCCUUGCGAGUAUUUCUAAUGUAUAUACCUCGAACGAGUCGAGUCGGACGCAUAAUUUUUUAUAGCCGGGACUCUGUUCGUGCAGUCAUAGU
This is a non-coding RNA of Cinara cedri, 177 nucleotides long. The record is from the annotation of a GenBank genome assembly. NCBI's taxonomy places the organism in Eukaryota, Metazoa, Arthropoda, Insecta, Hemiptera, Aphididae.